GUGCCUAAUACAUGCAAGUCGAACGAAGCUUUCUUUCACCGAAUGCUUGCAUUCACCGAAAGAAGCUUAGUGGCGAACGGGUGAGUAACACGUAGGCAACCUGCCCAAAAGAGGGGGAUAACACUUGGAAACAGGUGCUAAUACCGCAUAACCAUGAACACCGCAUGAUGUUCAUGUAAAAGACGGCUUUUGCUGUCACUUUUGGAUGGGCCUGCGGCGUAUUAACUUGUUGGUGGGGUAACGGCCUACCAAGGUGAUGAUACGUAGCCGAACUGAGAGGUUGAUCGGCCACAUUGGGACUGAGACACGGCCCAAACUCCUACGGGAGGCAGCAGUAGGGGAUCUUCCACAAUGGACGAAAGUCUGAUGGAGCAACGCCGCGUGAAUGAAGAAGGCCUUCGGGUCGUAAAAUUCUGUUGUCAGAGAAGAACGUGCGUGAGAGUAACUGUUCACGUAUUGACGGUAUCUGACCAGAAAGCCACGGCUAACUACGUGCCAGCAGCCGCGGUAAUACGUAGGUGGCGAGCGUUGUCCGGAUUUAUUGGGCGUAAAGGGAACGCAGGCGGUCUUUUAAGUCUGAUGUGAAAGCCUUCGGCUUAACCGAAGUAGUGCAUUGGAAACUGGAAGACUUGAGUGCAGAAGAGGAGAGUGGAACUCCAUGUGUAGCGGUGAAAUGCGUAGAUAUAUGGAAGAACACCAGUGGCGAAAGCGGCUCUCUGGUCUGUAACUGACGCUGAGGUUCGAAAGCGUGGGUAGCAAACAGGAUUAGAUACCCUGGUAGUCCACGCCGUAAACGAUGAGUGCUAAGUGUUGGAGGGUUUCCGCCCUUCAGUGCUGCAGCUAACGCAUUAAGCACUCCGCCUGGGGAGUACGGUCGCA
This 879-nucleotide ribosomal RNA is filed under the name uncultured bacterium. Its description in RNAcentral is "bacterial SSU rRNA". It matches the Rfam family "Bacterial small subunit ribosomal RNA", at positions 44 to 890 of the family's 1533-position model. The record is from RNAcentral.